GAAUCCGCUAAGGAGUGUGUAACAACUCACCUGCCGAAUGGAUUAGCCCUGAAAAUGGAUGGCGCUGAAGCGGGCAGCCGAUACCACGCCGUCUAUUUUAAUGAAUGUAAUAGAUGAGUAGGAGGGCGUGGAGGUCGUAUCGAAGCAUGCGUGCGAACGUGUGUGGAACGGCCUCUAGUGCAGAUCUUGGUGGUAGUAGCAAAUAUUCAAGCGAGAUCCUUGAAGGGCGAAGCGGGGAAGGGUUCCACGCGAACAUCGAUUGGGCGUGGGUGAGUCGUUCCUAAGCCGCGUGGUAAUAGCUAUCAAUCGGCGAAAGGGAAGCGGGUUGAAAUUCCCGCACACGGAUGUGGAGGCGGCGACGCUUUAUUGAGACGAGCCCGUCGGCGAUUGCACUGGGCAGAGAUGUCUUUUCUGUUUAACCAGCUCGCGCGUUGUGUGGAAUCCGAUUAUCGGGCGAAACACACGUGCCGGGUAAGAGCGCCGGGACUUUUCCGGCGUCCAGCUCGCGAUCGACGGCCCUUGAAAACUUGUCUACUGCAAUUAAAUCCACGCCGUGGCGUACCGAUAACCGCAUCAGGUCCCCAAGGUGAACAGCCUCUGCCUAAUAUGAACAAUGCAGGUAAGGGAAGUCGGCA
Molecule: ribosomal RNA, 635 nt
Filed under: Yendoa hakodatensis
Lineage: Eukaryota; Rhodophyta; Florideophyceae; Rhodymeniales; Lomentariaceae
Description: eukaryotic LSU rRNA
Rfam family: Eukaryotic large subunit ribosomal RNA
Source: RNAcentral